GUUAUAUGGUCAAGCGACUAAGCGCAUACGGUGGAUGCCUUGGCAGUCAGAGGCGAUGAAGGACGUAGUAGCCUGCGAAAAGCUUCGGGGAGUCGGCAAACAGACUUUGAUCCGGGGAUAUCCGAAUGGGGAAACCCACCUGGUGUAAGCCAGGUACCCUGCACUGAAUACAUAGGUGUAGGGGGCGAACGGGGGGAACUGAAACAUCUAAGUACCCCUAGGAAGAGAAAUCAAUUGAGAUUCCCUCAGUAGCGGCGAGCGAACGGGGAAUAGCCUGCAAGUGAUAGCAUUUGGGUUAGUGGAACGGUCUGGAAAGUCCGGCGAUAGAGGGUGAUAGCCCCGUACGCGAAAACCCGAGUGUGGUACUGAGCUUGCGACAAGUAGGUCGGGACACGUGUUAUCUUGACUGAAUAUGGGGGGACCAUCCUCCAAGGCUAAAUACUACUGACUGACCGAUAGUGAACCAGUACCGUGAGGGAAAGGCGAAAAGAACCCCGGAGAGGGGAGUGAAAUAGAACCUGAAACCGUAUGCGUACAAGCAGUGGGAGCAGACUUGUUCUGUGACUGCGUACCUUUUGUAUAAUGGGUCAGCGACUUAUUGUCUGUAGCGAGCUUAACCGUUUAGGGGAGGCGUAGGGAAACCGAGUCUUAACAGGGCGACAUAGUUGCAGGCAAUAGACCCGAAACCGGGCGAUCUAUCCAUGGCCAGGUUGAAGGUGCCGUAACAGGCACUGGAGGACCGAACCCACGUAUGUUGAAAAAUGCGGGGAUGAGCUGUGGAUCGGAGUGAAAGGCUAAUCAAGCCCGGAGAUAGCUGGUUCUCCUCGAAAUCUAUUUAGGUAGAGCCUCGCGUCUUACCCUGGGGGGUAGAGCACUGUUUGGGCUAGGGGGUCAUCCCGACUUACCAACCCCAUGCAAACUCCGAAUACCCAGGAGUACAAUCGCGGGAGACAGACGGCGGGUGCUAACGUCCGUCGUCGAGAGGGCAACAACCCAGACCGCCAGCUAAGGUCCCCAAUACCAGUUAAGUGGGAAACGAUGUGGGAAGGCUUAGACAGCUAGGAGGUUGGCUUAGAAGCAGCCAUCCUUUAAAGAAAGCGUAAUAGCUCACUAGUCGAGUCGGCCUGCGCGGAAGAUUUAACGGGGCUAAACUGGUAACCGAAGCUGCGGAUGCAUAUUUAUAUGCAUGGUAGAGGAGCGUUCUGUAAGCCGUUGAAGGUGAACCGGGAGGUUUGCUGGAGGUAUCAGAAGUGCGAAUGCUGACAUGAGUAACGACAAGGGGAGUGAAAAACUCCCCCGCCGGAAGAUCAAGGUUUCCUGCGCAACGCUAAUCGGCGCAGGGUGAGUCGGCCCCUAAGGCGAGGCAGAAAUGCGUAGUCGAUGGGAAACGGGUUAAAAUUCCUGUACUUCUUUAUAUUGCGAUGGAGGGACGGAGUAGGCUAGGCCAUCAGGGCGUUGGUUGUCCCUGUUUAAGGUUGUAGGCUGGCGGUUUAGGUAAAUCCGGACUGCUAAGGCUGAGAGCUGAUGACGAGUGUUAUCGGAAGGUAACGCGAAGUGGUUGAUGCCAUGCUUCCAAGAAAAGCUUCUAAGCUUCAGAUAUAAAGGAACCGUACUGUAAACCGACACAGGUGAUCAGGUAGAGAAUACCAAGGCGCUUGAGAGAACUCGGGUGAAGGAACUAGGCAAAAUGGUACCGUAACUUCGGGAGAAGGUACGCCGGUUUGGGUGAUGGGACUUGCUCCCUGAGCCUGGGCUGGCCGAAGUGACCAGGUGGCUGCGACUGUUUAUUAAAAACAUAGCACUCUGCAAACACGUAAGUGGACGUAUAGGGUGUGACGCCUGCCCGGUGCCGGAAGGUUAAUUGAUGGGGUUAUCUUCGGAGAAGCUCUUGAUCGAAGCCCCGGUAAACGGCGGCCGUAACUAUAACGGUCCUAAGGUAGCGAAAUUCCUUGUCGGGUAAGUUCCGACCUGCACGAAUGGCGUAACGAUGGCCACACUGUCUCCACCCGAGACUCAGUGAAAUUGAAAUCGCUGUUAAGAUGCAGUGUACCCGCGGCUAGACGGAAAGACCCCGUGAACCUUUACUAUAGCUUCACACUGGACUUUGACCUUACUUGUGUAGGAUAGCUGGGAGGCUUUGAAGCGGUGGCGCCAGCCAUCGUGGAGCCGACCUUGAAAUACCAGCCUGGUAAUGUUGGGGUUCUAACUCAGGUCCGUUAUCCGGAUCGAGGACAGUGUGUGGUGGGUAGUUUGACUGGGGCGGUCUCCUCCCAAAGAGUAACGGAGGAGCACGAAGGUGCGCUAAUCACGGUCGGAAAUCGUGAGGUUAGUGUAAAGGCACAAGCGCGCUUGACUGCGAGUCUGACAAGACGAGCAGGUACGAAAGUAGGUCUUAGUGAUCCGGUGGUUCUGUAUGGAAGGGCCAUCGCUCAACGGAUAAAAGGUACUCCGGGGAUAACAGGCUGAUACCGCCCAAGAGUUCACAUCGACGGCGGUGUUUGGCACCUCGAUGUCGGCUCAUCACAUCCUGGGGCUGAAGCCGGUCCCAAGGGUAUGGCUGUUCGCCAUUUAAAGUGGUACGCGAGCUGGGUUUAGAACGUCGUGAGACAGUUCGGUCCCUAUCUGCCGUGGGCGUUGGAGAAUUGAGGGAAGCUGCUCCUAGUACGAGAGGACCGGAGUGGACGAACCGCUGGUGUUCGGGUUGUCAUGCCAAUGGCAUUGCCCGGUAGCUACGUUCGGACAGGAUAAGCGCUGAAAGCAUCUAAGCGCGAAGCCCCUCCCAAGAUAAGUUCUCCCUGACCCCUUGAGGGUCCUGAAGGGCCGUCCAAGACUAGGACGUUGAUAGGCUGGGUGUGUAAGCGUUGUAAAGCGUUGAGCUAACCAGUACUAAUUGCCCGUGAGGCUUGACCAUAUAAUCCA
RNAcentral lists this ribosomal RNA (2919 nucleotides) under Pseudomonadales bacterium. RNAcentral describes it as "23S ribosomal RNA". It matches the Rfam family "Bacterial large subunit ribosomal RNA". The record is from RNAcentral. Lineage: Bacteria; Pseudomonadati; Pseudomonadota; Gammaproteobacteria; Pseudomonadales.